Molecule: microRNA precursor, 209 nt
Organism: Oryza sativa Japonica Group (Japanese rice)
Lineage: Eukaryota; Viridiplantae; Streptophyta; Magnoliopsida; Poales; Poaceae
Rfam family: MIR812 microRNA precursor family
Source: Rfam
AAUAAGUGUAGUUUUACACUAUUUACGUUCAACGUUUGAUCGUUCGUCUUAUUUGAAAAAAAUUUUAUGAUUAGUAUUUUUAUUGCUAUUAGAUGAUAAAACAUGAAUAGUACUUUAUGUGUGACUAAAUAUUUUUAAUUUUUUCACAAUUUUUUUAAAUAGGACGGACGGUCAAACGUUGGGUAUGGAUAUCCACAGCUACAUAUUUU